RNAcentral lists this ribosomal RNA (1092 nucleotides) under Triticum aestivum (bread wheat). RNAcentral's name for it is "partial small subunit ribosomal RNA". Lineage: Eukaryota; Viridiplantae; Streptophyta; Magnoliopsida; Poales; Poaceae. The record is from RNAcentral.
AUGUCUGAACUCGGCUGUGUGCCUGAUGCCUUGUCGUACUCCGUCGUUCUGAAGGUCUUGUGUGACGAUAGCAGGAGCCAACGAGCGCUCGACCUGCUCCAGAUGAUGUCGAAAGAAGGAGGUGGGUGCGCCCCGAACGUGGUGGCAUAUAGCACGUUCAUCCAUGGCUUCUGUAAGGAAGGCAAAGUAAGCCAGGCAUGCGAUCUGUUCGAUGAAAUGGUGCAGCAAGGAGUUAAGCCUAAUGUGGUGACAUACACCUCAGUAAUUGAUGCGCUGUGCAAGGCAAGAGCAAUGGACAAGGCAGAGUCGUUCCUUCGGCAUAUGGUCAAUCAUGGUGUUCGACCCAACAACGUGACCUAUAAGUAUAUGAUCCAGGGUUAUUCCACUUUGGGCUGGUUGAAAGAGGCAGUAAAAAUAUUUAGAGAAACGACAAGUAGGGGUCUUAUACUAGACGAUGUUACUCGCAACUUGUUCGUGGCCUCCCUUUGCAACCAUGGAAGAAGCAAGGAAGCUGCUGAGUUUGCCCAUCAGAUGAUUGAAACUGGAACAACAGUGAGCAUUUCCACAUACAGUAUAAUUCUUGGAGAACUUUGUAGGAAUAAUUGCACUGAGGAAGCAAUCAUACUGUUCCGCAAAUUAGGUGCAGUGAAUGUGAAGUUCGAUAUUACAAUAUUCAAUACCAUGAUUGAUGCAAUGUACAGGGUUCAAAGAAGAGAAGAAGCUAACAUUUUGUUUGCUGCAAUAUCUGCCAAUGGAUUGGUACCUAAUGCUUCUACUUACAGAAUAAUGAUAACAAGUAUUGUAAAAGAAGGAUCAAUGGAAGAAGCUGAUCAUAUGUUUUCAUCAAUGGAGACGAGUGGUUAUGCUCCCAGCUCCGUUCUGUUAAAUGAUAUCAUCAGAAUGUUGCUAGAAAAAGGUGAGAUAGUCAAGGCUGGAAAUUAUUUGUCUAAAGUUGAUGGGAAGUGCAUUUCACUUGAAGCUUCAACUGGUUUGUUGAUGAUGCAUCUAUUUUCAAGAGAAGGCAAAUAUCAUGAGCAAAUAAGAUCACUCCCUGCAAGGUAUGAAUUUUUCGGAGUCAGCACAGUUGAGUAG